RNAcentral lists this ribosomal RNA (390 nucleotides) under Salmonella enterica subsp. enterica serovar Enteritidis. RNAcentral describes it as "partial 23S ribosomal RNA". It matches the Rfam family "Bacterial large subunit ribosomal RNA", at positions 150 to 578 of the family's 2925-position model. Lineage: Bacteria; Pseudomonadati; Pseudomonadota; Gammaproteobacteria; Enterobacterales; Enterobacteriaceae. The record is from RNAcentral.
AUCAUUAACUGAAUCCAUAGGUUAAUGAGGCGAACCGGGGGAACUGAAACAUCUAAGUACCCCGAGGAAAAGAAAUCAACCGAGAUUCCCCCAGUAGCGGCGAGCGAACGGGGAGGAGCCCAGAGCCUGAAUCAGCAUGUGUGUUAGUGGAAGCGUCUGGAAAGGCGCGCGAUACAGGGUGACAGCCCCGUACACAAAAGCGCAUGUGCUGUGAGCUCGAUGAGUAGGGCGGGACACGUGGUAUCCUGUCUGAAUAUGGGGGGACCAUCCUCCAAGGCUAAAUACUCCUGACUGACCGAUAGUGAACCAGUACCGUGAGGGAAAGGCGAAAAGAACCCCGGCGAGGGGAGUGAAAAAGAACCUGAAACCGUGUACGUACAAGCAGUGGGA